ACUGAAGUGGUGAAAUUGGUAAACACACUAUCUUGAGGGGAUAGCGUUUGUAAAAAUAUCAAACAUACGGGUUCGAGUCCCGUCUUCAGUA
This 91-nucleotide transfer RNA is filed under the name Buchnera aphidicola (Tuberolachnus salignus). It matches the Rfam family "tRNA". Rfam says of the family: Transfer RNA (tRNA) molecules are approximately 80 nucleotides in length. Their secondary structure includes four short double-helical elements and three loops (D, anti-codon, and T loops). Further hydrogen bonds mediate the characteristic L-shaped molecular structure. tRNAs have two regions of fundamental functional importance: the anti-codon, which is responsible for specific mRNA codon recognition, and the 3' end, to which the tRNAs corresponding amino acid is attached (by aminoacyl-tRNA synthetases). tRNAs cope with the degeneracy of the genetic code in two manners: having more than one tRNA (with a specific anti-codon) for a particular amino acid; and 'wobble' base-pairing, i.e. permitting non-standard base-pairing at the 3rd anti-codon position. Lineage: Bacteria; Pseudomonadati; Pseudomonadota; Gammaproteobacteria; Enterobacterales; Erwiniaceae. The record is from Rfam by way of RNAcentral.